Molecule: regulatory RNA element, 131 nt
Organism: Atopobium minutum 10063974
Lineage: Bacteria; Bacillati; Actinomycetota; Coriobacteriia; Coriobacteriales; Atopobiaceae
Rfam family: FMN riboswitch aptamer (RFN element)
About the family: The RFN element is a highly conserved domain that is found frequently in the 5'-untranslated regions of prokaryotic mRNAs that encode for flavin mononucleotide (FMN) biosynthesis and transport proteins. This element is a metabolite-dependent riboswitch that directly binds FMN in the absence of proteins.
Source: Rfam
UCACAGUUUCAGGGCGGGGUGCAAUUCCCCACUGGCGGUAAGGCGCUUUGCCAAGCCCGCGCGCCGAAAAGAUCGGCUGAUCUGGUGCAAAUCCAGAGCCAACGGUAUAGUCCGGAUGGAAGAAACGGAGC